This 506-nucleotide ribosomal RNA is filed under the name Bacillus amyloliquefaciens. RNAcentral describes it as "bacterial SSU rRNA". It matches the Rfam family "Bacterial small subunit ribosomal RNA", at positions 277 to 774 of the family's 1533-position model. The record is from RNAcentral. Lineage: Bacteria; Bacillati; Bacillota; Bacilli; Caryophanales; Bacillaceae.
CGAUGCGUAGCCGACCUGAGAGGGUGAUCGGCCACACUGGGACUGAGACACGGCCCAGACUCCUACGGGAGGCAGCAGUAGGGAAUCUUCCGCAAUGGACGAAAGUCUGACGGAGCAACGCCGCGUGAGUGAUGAAGGUUUUCGGAUCGUAAAGCUCUGUUGUUAGGGAAGAACAAGUGCCGUUCAAAUAGGGCGGCACCUUGACGGUACCUAACCAGAAAGCCACGGCUAACUACGUGCCAGCAGCCGCGGUAAUACGUAGGUGGCAAGCGUUGUCCGGAAUUAUUGGGCGUAAAGGGCUCGCAGGCGGUUUCUUAAGUCUGAUGUGAAAGCCCCCGGCUCAACCGGGGAGGGUCAUUGGAAACUGGGGAACUUGAGUGCAGAAGAGGAGAGUGGAAUUCCACGUGUAGCGGUGAAAUGCGUAGAGAUGUGGAGGAACACCAGUGGCGAAGGCGACUCUCUGGUCUGUAACUGACGCUGAGGAGCGAAAGCGUGGGGAGCGAACA